GAUGAACGCUGGCGGCGUGCCUAAUACAUGCAAGUCGAGCGAACGGACGAGAAGCUUGCUUCUCUGAUGUUAGCGGCGGACGGGUGAGUAACACGUGGAUAACCUACCUAUAAGACUGGGAUAACUUCGGGAAACCGGAGCUAAUACCGGAUAAUAUUUUGAACCGCAUGGUUCAAAAGUGAAAGACGGUCUUGCUGUCACUUAUAGAUGGAUCCGCGCUGCAUUAGCUAGUUGUUAAGGUAACGGCUUACCAAGGCAACGAUGCAUAGCCGACCUGAGAGGGUGAGCGGCCACACUGGAACGGAGACACGGACCAGACUCCUACGGGAGGCAGCAGUAGGGAAUAUGCCGCAAUGGGCGAAAGCAUGACGGAGCAACGCCGCGUGAGUGAUGAAGGUCUUAGGAUCGUAAAACUCUGUUAUUAGGGAAGAACAUAUGUGUAAGUAAAUGUGCACAUCUUGACGGUACCUAAUCAGAAAGCCACGGCUAACUACGUG
RNAcentral lists this ribosomal RNA (497 nucleotides) under uncultured bacterium. RNAcentral's name for it is "partial 16S ribosomal RNA". It matches the Rfam family "Bacterial small subunit ribosomal RNA", at positions 28 to 507 of the family's 1533-position model. The record is from RNAcentral.